Molecule: non-coding RNA, 227 nt
Filed under: Duganella sp.
Lineage: Bacteria; Pseudomonadati; Pseudomonadota; Betaproteobacteria; Burkholderiales; Oxalobacteraceae
Source: RNAcentral
GUAUAAUCGCCGCCGUUUGGUGCCUCGCGCGCGUUCAAGCGCGCAGUUAAACGGGAAACACAUGGCCAUGCUGCUUCAGCCAGCAAGCCAAGGUGUGCUGCCCCCGCAACGGUAAGCAAGCGUCGUUCUUCACGACAGGUCGUCUCUCAAGCCACUGUGCGCAAGCAUGGGAAGGCAAGACGGUCCGCCUUGCCAGCCCGGAUACCGGCCAGACAGGUGGUGCACAC